Molecule: transfer RNA, 73 nt
Filed under: Mustela putorius furo (domestic ferret)
Lineage: Eukaryota; Metazoa; Chordata; Mammalia; Carnivora; Mustelidae
Rfam family: tRNA
About the family: Transfer RNA (tRNA) molecules are approximately 80 nucleotides in length. Their secondary structure includes four short double-helical elements and three loops (D, anti-codon, and T loops).
Source: Rfam by way of RNAcentral
UCCCAGUUAGCUCCAUCAGAAGAGCAUGUGACUCUUGAUUUCAGGGUCAUGAGUUCAAGCCUCACAUUGGGUA